RNAcentral lists this ribosomal RNA (288 nucleotides) under Triticum aestivum (bread wheat). RNAcentral's name for it is "partial small subunit ribosomal RNA". Lineage: Eukaryota; Viridiplantae; Streptophyta; Magnoliopsida; Poales; Poaceae. The record is from RNAcentral.
GGAAGCAACCGACUUGUUGUUAACUCCGACAAUAUGGAAGUAAUUGACACGAUGAAGAAUGAAGGACAUACAACGGGAGCGGCGACGGCUGUGUUUGAUGAUUGUUAUUUUAUGGCUUGUGAUUUUUCGUUAGUUAGAUUUGAACAUUGUAAUAGGAAGGCAAAUAAAGUAGCUCAUGAAAUUGUUAGAGUAGCUAAAUUUUCUGAGACAAGGGAUUGGUUUGAGGAACCUUUGAACGAUAUUGUAAAUUUACUUAUAGACGAUGUAACCAUUAUUACUAAUAAAUAA